CGUUUGGAAACGAACGCUAAUACGGUAUGAGCUCUACGGAGUAAAGAUUUAUCGCCAGAGGAUGAGCCCGCGUAGGAUUAGAUAGUUGGUGGGGUAACGGCCUACCAAGUCGACGAUCUUUAGCUGUUCUGAGAGGAAGAUCAGCCACACUGGAACUGAGACACGGUCCAGACUCCUACGGGAGGCAGCAGUGGGGAAUAUUGGACAAUGGGGGCAACCCUGAUCCAGCCAUGCCGCGUGAGUGAAGAAGGCCUUAGGGUUGUAAAGCUCUUUCGCUAGGGAAGAUAAUGACGGUACCUAGUAAAGAAGUCCCGGCUAACUCCGUGCCAGCAGCCGCGGUAAUACGGAGGGGACUAGCGUUGUUCGGAAUUACUGGGCGUAAAGAGUACGUAGGCGGUUUAUCAAGUUGGGUGUGAAAGCCCGGGGCUCAACCCCGGAACUGCACUCAAAACUGGUAGACUAGAGAUCGGAAGAGGUAAGUGGAAUUCCCAGUGUAGAGGUGAAAUUCGUAGAUAUUGGGAAGAACACCAGUGGCGAAGGCGGCUUACUGGUCCGACACUGACGCUGAGGUACGAAAGCGUGGGGAGCAAACAGGAUUAGAUACUCUGGUAGUCCACGCCGUAAACGAUGAAUGCUAGUUGUUGGGAGGUAUACCUUUCAGUGACGCAGCUAACGCAUUAAGCAUUCCGCCUGGGGAGUACGGUCGCAAGAUUAAAACUCAAAGGAAUUGACGGGGGCCCGCACAAGCGGUGGAGCAUGUGGUUUAAUUCGAAGCAACGCGCAGACCUUACCAGCCCUUGACAU
Molecule: ribosomal RNA, 804 nt
Filed under: alpha proteobacterium RAS24
Lineage: Bacteria; Pseudomonadati; Pseudomonadota; Alphaproteobacteria
Description: bacterial SSU rRNA
Rfam family: Bacterial small subunit ribosomal RNA
Source: RNAcentral